This 301-nucleotide ribosomal RNA is filed under the name uncultured bacterium. RNAcentral describes it as "partial 16S ribosomal RNA". It matches the Rfam family "Bacterial small subunit ribosomal RNA", at positions 509 to 809 of the family's 1533-position model. The record is from RNAcentral.
CAGUAGCCGCGGUAAUACGGAGGGUGCAAGCGUUAAUCGGAAUUACUGGGCGUAAAGCGCACGCAGGCGGUCUGACAAGUCAGAUGUGAAAUCCCCGAGCUUAACUUGGGAACUGCAUUUGAAACUGGCAAGCUAGAGUCUUGUAGAGGGGGGUAGAAUUCCAGGUGUAGCGGUGAAAUGCGUAGAGAUCUGGAGGAAUACCGGUGGCGAAGGCGGCCCCCUGGACAAAGACUGACGCUCAGGUGCGAAAGCGUGGGGAGCAAACAGGAUUAGAUACCCCCGUAGUCCCUGUUCUUAUACA